Bombus huntii is the source of this 2520-nucleotide long non-coding RNA. RefSeq lists it as uncharacterized. The transcript has 2 exons. The record is from RefSeq and is a predicted model, not a curated record. NCBI's taxonomy places the organism in Eukaryota, Metazoa, Arthropoda, Insecta, Hymenoptera, Apidae.
UGGUUCUAGCGUGUUGUACGCUGAAGCUACAUCUUCUCUCGUUCCGUUUAAAUCGAUAAUAUCCGUGUAAUUAGCGAUCGGGACUUUCGUUGGGAAGUGGCUGAUCAUAUCGAUUUUGUGCCCUUUCUCUGUAAGUCUUUGCACAGAGCAUGGAACAUUCUGAAGUGACUUUUUCCAUCGAACAGGAAGAGACAGAGAAUUCUAUAUCUGCAAAGGAUAUUCAACUGCCUUCUAAGCGUUUUCCAAUAAAAUUAAAUUUAUCUGUAUUAAAUUUCAAUCAAAUACCAAUAGAAUAUGGAAAAUGUAAUAAUUUAAACAUAUGAAAAUUCGGAAUCGAAAAGUUUGAAAAUUUGAAAACCUGAAAACUCGAGAGUGUAGAAAAUUUGCAAAUCAGAAGCUUCGAAAGUUUGGAAAUUUGAAACAUUCGAAACAUUUUCUACGGUAUCUUAACCCAGCACCAAUUGUUUUAUGUUAUUAGCAACAUAAUUGUCUAUUUUCAUUGUCCAAUUGUUUCGAUUCAAGAUACAGUUGUAACUCGCUGUUCAAGUAUCUCACAAAUGGUCAAUUUUCCAACUAAUCUACUCAGCUACGUCUCGAAUAAAAAAAUUAUCCAGCACUGAAAGAUUUUUACCUUCAAUUAUGCGCUGAAUGAACACCAAAUGUAUUAAUAUUUCAGGAUGAACCAUGGAUUGCGCGAACGUCUGUCAAGGGAAUUUGUAAAAGGCUGACUGUGUUUUUUACGUAGCUCUUUUGUCAUAAUUAUUGUAAAGUCUAAAGGAAGGGACAGUCACAUGAUCAUGCAAUUAAAAUAUUAUCUUGAAGAAAACAACGUGUAGACUUUAUUCUUACGUUUCUGUUCAUUUUUACCUGUAAUUAUAUAGUUUGCGUGGUUUGCUUACAAUUUCAUACUUUGCCGGUAAAAACGAAGAAAGUACAAAGAGGGAAAUUCUAUAGAGGAUAAAUUGUAUACAAACGACGAAAAUUUAGAUAGUAGGAGUAUAUUUAGAAAACUUAUCUGGCAUUUCAUUUCCUUAUGUUUACUCUGUUUCUGUAUUUAUCAUUGAUAAACAUAGUCAUAGCGAAAACAAGGUUUUUAAAUACUCCAAGCUCUUCAAUUUUCUAAUGUUAUAAUUUUCCAAGCUCUUCAAUUUUCGAACGUUCGAUCUGUCAAAUUUUCCAAUAUCAAAAUUUUCAAAUUUCUGACCACCUGAUUUUUCGAAUUCGCAAACGUCUGCCUCUGCAAAUUCUCCAAUACUAGAGUCUGCAAAUUUUUGAAUCUCGUAUCCUCUGAAUCUCCAAAUUCUCAAACUCGGUGAUCACGGGACAUUUCAAAAUAUAAUUCCAUUAUCUCAGUUUCAUUAUUCAUAACGAAGAAGCAAUCCAUCGUAAGUACUCCCAUUAAUCGUGCUAUAAAAUUCUGUCUCUCGCAAACAAAUUCGUUAAUUACAGAGACACUGGCCAUUUGAAUAGGCAUUUCCCUGCUUUCUGUCUCGAAUAUAUUUCUCAAAAGAACAAUCGACGUUGCGUCCGAAUUAUUUAUCGUCAAGUUUGCUGUCUUAAUUUUCCGCAUCGCGUGCUCCGUGAACGGUCAUUAUUAAUGGUUCGUUGAGCCGAAUGAUGAAAAAUAUCGUAACUCUACAGAACUACCAAAAUUUCAUGGUAUUUUUAUUUCUUUUUCGACUAUUUACAAAAGUGAAAUUGUUUCCGGAUGAAAGCAAUUUUCUUAAUGUCGUGUAACUUUCAAAGAAACUACCCCCUGCUACCGUCAGUUUUAGCUGGUCGGUUAGGAAAAUGUCGCAAGUUGCAGUUCCAUUUUACGCAGGCUAAAGCGUACAAUGAUACCGGAUGAAUAAGGUUUAGUGUCUGGCAUGGGAACUCGGUAAACUGCUUGAGAACUUGUCAAAUGUUUACGUAAUUUUAAUACGAUUAAACGUGGCCCUGUCCAUGUUUAAUUAUACUUGAUCAAACUUUCAACGGCUCGUUUAAUCGAGUUAUAAGUGGCUUCAUCGUUAAGUUCCUCUAGCCCGGCUCUUCGUUGCUGUUCUCAAUUGCACGCGUAACACGUCCUGUAUUGUCGUAGAUUCCUUUUCGACGUUUCUUUAAUUGUCAGAAAUGUUGUGUUCUUGGCUUUACAGUGUAUCGAUUUAACAUUUAUCGUCACCUCGCGAUGAAAUUUGCAUCAAAGGUAUUUAUAUAUUGGGUUGUCCGAAAAGUUCCUUUCGUUUCAUAAGUGAAAUAAUAGAUGCACAACAUUUUUUAUUAUUUUUUUUUCUUUUACAUCUCUUUUAUCUAUCUAAGCCUAAUAUCCAUUUCGCAUAUCUCCUUUUUACUCUAUCCAGUCUUUCUUCCAUGUUCCAGUCCCAUACUUCUGCUCCAAACAUCUUCAUUCUCCUUUUGUAGUCCUGUUUGAAUAUUCUUUCUCCCACGUUCCAUGUUUUCUUCAUUGCUAUGGUUGCUCUCUUUUUCCUGUCUUGUAUGUGCUUCUCAUCACUUCUGUUUUUCUGUAGUACAUACCCUAGG